UAACCACUCAAGCUCUCGCUUGGUAUUGGGGUGCGCGGUUCCGCGGCCUCUAAAGUCAGUGGCGGUGCCCGUCGGCUCUACGCGUAGUAAUACUCCUCGCGUCUGGGUCCGGUAGGUUGCUUGCCAACAACCCCCAAAUUUUUUACA
Molecule: unclassified non-coding RNA, 147 nt
Filed under: uncultured fungus
Lineage: Eukaryota; Fungi
Description: sequence contains ITS2
Source: RNAcentral